RNAcentral lists this transfer RNA (112 nucleotides) under Salmo salar (Atlantic salmon). It matches the Rfam family "tRNA". From Rfam's summary of the family: Transfer RNA (tRNA) molecules are approximately 80 nucleotides in length. Their secondary structure includes four short double-helical elements and three loops (D, anti-codon, and T loops). Lineage: Eukaryota; Metazoa; Chordata; Actinopteri; Salmoniformes; Salmonidae. The record is from Rfam by way of RNAcentral.
GUCAGGAUGACCGAGUGGUUUAAGGCACCAGACUCAAGGUGAGAAGACUUCCUGGUUCUAGGGGUGUUCUGCUCUCUGAUUGGAGGCGAGGCUUCAAAUCCCUCUCCUCACA